Lycium ferocissimum is the source of this 884-nucleotide long non-coding RNA. RefSeq lists it as uncharacterized. The record is from RefSeq and is a predicted model, not a curated record. The transcript is spliced from 2 exons. Lineage: Eukaryota; Viridiplantae; Streptophyta; Magnoliopsida; Solanales; Solanaceae.
CUAACAAACUUAUAUCGAAUGAACAUAGGGAAUAUCCCCGAGGAGUUUAAUCACUUAUUUCCGACUCCCCCACAGGUAGACAAAAUUAAUUUGGUAGUCUGGGAAUCACUUAUUUUAAAGGGAAUGCUGCGUAUCAAGGCUAAAAGAAGUAGACAAAAGAGUACUUGUUUACGGGAAAUAUUUGAUAGUCUGUUUAAAGUUAGAUUGGAACCAUUAUGGGAUAUGUUUGUCUGGUGAUAGAACGAAACUAAACUAGCAGGAUAUUUAAUGGUCUUUCAAUGGGACCAAGAGGGGAAGUUGAAGAUUCUUAGCCACAUGCCUGGGAUAAUGUCACUGAAGUCCAGAACAUAUGUAGAUUAUGUUGCAAUCUAAAGUCAUUUUUCUUUGGUGAAAUUUUGAAUUGUCCCCUCUGUCCUUUUGCUUUUUAUUGUUGCUCUGACUGUUACAUAUUCAGGAAAAGAAAAACAGAGUAUUUAGAAUUGUUCAAACCUUACCAUAAACAUUUAAAAUUGAAAGAGCAGACAUGAGAUGAUCUUUCUUCAAAGAGUUUCCUUUAUAAUCAUUAUCAUUUGAGGAUUCUAUAAUUGUUGAUUGGUAGUUUGAUUAUUUCCUUUUUUUUUUUUUUUUUUUUUUUUUAAGCAGGCACAAGAUUUAGGAAACACUCCUUCACCAAUUGGACCAAGAAGUUCCUCAUCAUAUAGAUGUAACAACGGAGAUAGAGCGAGUGGCAAUUCGUAAUCAUCAUUAGGAUCAAAACUAUAUUUUUUGGGUAUUGUUGAUGAAUAACUUUGAAACUCUAGCUUGAAUUUGGAUGUAAUUUUGGGAUACUUUUGUUUUAGUUAUUGAAUAUUUUGCUCAUUUAAACCUUUCAAGUGUUAAAAUUA